Molecule: ribosomal RNA, 726 nt
Filed under: Pediococcus pentosaceus
Lineage: Bacteria; Bacillati; Bacillota; Bacilli; Lactobacillales; Lactobacillaceae
Description: bacterial SSU rRNA
Rfam family: Bacterial small subunit ribosomal RNA
Source: RNAcentral
UUCCGUUAAUUGCUUAUGACGUACGGUGUUCUGAUUGAGAUUUUAACAUGAAGUGAGUGGCGAACGGGUGAGUAACACGUGGGUAACCUGCCCAGAAGUAGGGGAUAACACCUGGAAACAGAUGUUAAUACCGUAUAACASAGAAAACCGCAUGGUUUUCUUUUAAAAGAUGGCUCUGCUAUCACUUCUGGAUGGACCCGCGGCGUAUUAGCUAGUUGGUGAGGUAAAGGCUCACCAAGGCAGUGAUACGUAGCCGACCUGAGAGGGUAAUCGGCCACAUUGGGACUGAGACACGGCCCAGACUCCUACGGGAGGCAGCAGUAGGGAAUCUUCCACAAUGGACGCAAGUCUGAUGGAGCAACGCCGCGUGAGUGAAGAAGGGUUUCGGCUCGUAAAGCUCUGUUGUUAAAGAAGAACGUGGGUAAGAGUAACUGUUUACCCAGUGACGGUAUUUAACCAGAAAGCCACGGCUAACUACGUGCCAGCAGCCGCGGUAAUACGUAGGUGGCAAGCGUUAUCCGGAUUUAUUGGGCGUAAAGCGAGCGCAGGCGGUCUUUUAAGUCUAAUGUGAAAGCCUUCGGCUCAACCGAAGAAGUGCAUUGGAAACUGGGAGACUUGAGUGCAGAAGAGGACAGUGGAACUCCAUGUGUAGCGGUGAAAUGCGUAGAUAUAUGGAAGAACACCAGUGGCGAAGGCGGCUGUCUGGUCUGCAACUGACGCUGAGGC